AUGUGAAAGAUGGUUCUGGGUUAAAAAAACAAGUUUGGAGGAAAAAUCUCACCCUCUCAAAUUAUUCUUCAAAGAAUCCAGGAAUUUGCAACCCUGUUUACUUAUCCAAGAGAGCAAUUUUUUAGAGACCAUGUCCUUGCCUCAUGCCUGCUGCCAUCUCCUUGCCUCAUACCCUCUCCAUAGUUGCUUGUUCACCAGUUUCCGUA
RNAcentral lists this unclassified non-coding RNA (206 nucleotides) under Hevea brasiliensis (rubber tree). The record is from RNAcentral. Lineage: Eukaryota; Viridiplantae; Streptophyta; Magnoliopsida; Malpighiales; Euphorbiaceae.